RNA transcript from Glycine soja, 2104 nucleotides. It is a transcript of the gene named CBL-interacting serine/threonine-protein kinase 9-like, with no coding region annotated. NCBI's taxonomy places the organism in Eukaryota, Viridiplantae, Streptophyta, Magnoliopsida, Fabales, Fabaceae. The transcript has 13 exons. The record is from RefSeq and is a predicted model, not a curated record.
CAGCAUCAAUCUUCUCACCUUUUUUUCCAUACAUAUCUGGGUUCCUUCCUCCUAAUAAUGAUUAAUUAAUUUCAAGUAUAAGUAAGUAACUAAACAAAAGGGAUAAGAGCAAGGUCCAAAAAUGAGCAGCAUGAAGGUAGCGAAAGGGCGUAUCCUGGUUGGUAAAUACGAGUUGGGAAAAACAAUUGGAGAGGGAAGCUUUGCCAAGGUGAAGUUCGCCAGGAACGUCCAGAACGGUAACUAUGUCGCCAUCAAAAUCCUCGACCGUAAACAUGUCCUCCGCCUCAACAUGAUGGAACAGCUCAUGAAAGAAAUAUCAACCAUGAAGUUAAUCAAUCACCCCAACGUUGUUAGAAUACUUGAGGUGUUGGCAAGCAAAACAAAGAUUUACAUUGUUCUGGAGUUUGUUGAUGGGGGAGAACUAUUUGACAAAAUUGCUGCAAAUGGAAGACUUAAAGAAGAUGAAGCAAGAAAUUAUUUCCAACAGCUUAUUAAUGCUGUUGAUUACUGCCAUAGUAGAGGCGUGUAUCACAGAGAUUUGAAGCCUGAGAAUCUUCUAGACUCAAAUGGUGUCCUUAAAGUUUCAGAUUUUGGUUUGAGUACAUACUCACAGAAAGAGGAUGAACUGCUCCACACUGCAUGUGGAACCCCAAAUUAUGUUGCACCUGAGGUGCUUAAUGAUAGAGGUUAUGUUGGUUCUACAUCUGAUAUUUGGUCUUGUGGAGUCAUUCUCUUUGUACUUAUGGCUGGGUACUUGCCUUUUGAUGAACCAACUCAUAUGGCUCUGUACAAAAAAAUUGGCAGGGCAGAAUUCUCUUGUCCAUCAUGGUUUUCGCCACAGGCAAAGAAAUUGCUAAAACACAUUCUUGACCCAAACCCUCUAACGAGGAUAAAAAUUCCUGAGCUCUUAGAAGAUGAAUGGUUCAAAAAAGGAUACAAGCCAACAUCCUUCACUGAGGAAGAGGAUCUAAAUGUAGAUGAUGUAGUCGUUGCUUUCAAUGAGUCUAAUGAAAAUCUAGUGACAGAGAGAAAAGAGAAACCCGUCUCCAUGAAUGCUUUUGAGCUCAUUUGUAGGUCACAAAGUUUCAAUCUUGACAGUUUGUUUGAGAAGCAAACGGGUCAAGUAAAGCAAGAAACAAGUUUUACUUCACAGUGCCCUGCAAAUGAAAUUAUGUUUAAAAUCGAGGAAGCAGCCAAGCCACUGGGCUUUAAUGUACACAAGCGAAAUUAUAAGAUGAAGUUGCAAGGUGACAAGAGUGGGAGGAAGGGUCACCUUUCAGUGGCUACUGAGGUUUUUGAAGUGGCGCCAUCCGUGCAUAUGGUGGAGCUGCGAAAGACAGGGGGUGAUACAUUAGAGUUUCAUAAGGCAUGUGAAAAUUCCUUGUCUUUGCUUUUGAUCCAGAAAUACAAGAGUCAUAUCAGGAAAUCUGCAACCCAGAUUUAAUUCAUUUGGGAUUCUUACUACUGCUCGACUUAGAUCUUUUGCAAAGCCUUUUUCCUAUCACUUUUCUCUGUUCUACAAAAUAUUCUCAUCAGGGUUGCAAGACAUAGUGUGGCAUGAUACUGAAGGAAAAAAAAAUAUGAAGAAUUAAGGUAUCGCCUAUUCCUAUAUUUCCCCUUACCUAUAUGCCACAUGUAUCCUAUGAAAGAGAACGUUUUGAUCAUGUACCAUUUUGUCCACAGCAACCUCUAGGGAAAGCAAUCAUCAUAUUCAUAGGGUUACGCCUUCAAUGAUUCGUUUGAUUAAUUCAUAAAUCGGGUUAUUGUUCUGUUUCUACUUCUAGUGCCAUUCCCUUAUUGUGGUUCGUGGAGUUCCCAUGCUUUGCUAAAUCUGGAACUUUGGAUGUGUCUGGUUGGAUGUUCGAUAUGAAAGAGAGAAAAAUAGAUCCCUUAUUGGUGCUUUAUCUUUGACGCUGUAUUCUUAAUUUUUUUUUUACUACCGUAUUCAGUAUAGACGUAGUAAAUAUAUAUAAAUGGGGGAAAAUAGUAUAAGUGAGUAGGCAUUGGAGUGUGGUAUAAUACUUGUACUCUUCAAAUAUUUCAUUCCCUUAUGUGUUCAUUACUUCUAUUUAUACUUAUUUCUUGCAUGCUUGUGGCUUGAUCA